This 497-nucleotide ribosomal RNA is filed under the name uncultured bacterium. RNAcentral's name for it is "partial 16S ribosomal RNA". It matches the Rfam family "Bacterial small subunit ribosomal RNA", at positions 28 to 507 of the family's 1533-position model. The record is from RNAcentral.
GAUGAACGCUGGCGGCGUGCCUAAUACAUGCAAGUCGAGCGAACGGACGAGAAGCUUGCUUCUCUGAUGUUAGCGGCGGACGGGUGAGUAACACGUGGAUAACCUACCUAUAAGACUGGGAUAACUUCGGGAAACCGGAGCUAAUACCGGAUAAUAUUUUGAACCGCAUGGUUCAAAAGUGAAAGACGGUCUUGCUGUCACUUAUAGCUGGAUCCGCGCUGCAUUAGCUAGUUGGUAAGGUAACGGCUUACCAAGGCAACGAUGCAUAGCCGAGCUGAGGGGGUGAUCGGCCACACUGGAACUGAGACACGGUCCAGACUCCUACGGGAGGCAGCAGUAGGGAAUCUUCCGCAAUGGGCGAAAGCCUGACGGAGCAACGCCGCGUGAGUGAUGAAGGUCUUCGGAUCGUAAAACUCUGUUAUGAGGGAAGAACAUAUGUGUAAGUAACUGUGCACAUCUUGACGGUACCUAAUCAGAAAGCCACGGCUAACUACGUG